RNAcentral lists this ribosomal RNA (531 nucleotides) under Triticum aestivum (bread wheat). RNAcentral's name for it is "partial small subunit ribosomal RNA". The record is from RNAcentral. Lineage: Eukaryota; Viridiplantae; Streptophyta; Magnoliopsida; Poales; Poaceae.
CAACGCAAAUUACAUUGGUUUUCUUGGUGGAAGAUGUGCAUCCCUAAACUCUGGGGAGGCAUGGGUUUUCGUGACAUUCAUAGCUUUAAUUUGGCUAUGCUCGCUAAGCAAUGUUGGAGGCUCAUUGAUAACUAUGAUUCUUUGUGUGCAGAAGUCCUAAGAACCAAAUACUACCCCUCUGGUGAUUUGUUAAAUUGUGAACUAAAAAAGGGUUCGUUCUAUGUUUGGCAGAGUAUCUGGGCAGGGAUACAAAUUUUCAAGAAAGGAUGCAUAUGGAGGGUAGGCAAUGGGAUGAAGAUAAACAUCUGGGAAGACUGCUGUAUACCAAAUAGUAUAUCCAGGAAGAUUAUAACAGUCCGGGGCAACUGUGUUCUGACGAUGGUGAAUGAACUUAUAAAUCCUGUCACUGGAGAAUGGGAUAAAGUACUAAUACGGGACAACUUUUGGCAUAUUGAUGCGGAGAGGAUUUUGCAAAUUCCGAUCUUUCAUCAUGAUACGGAAGAUUUUGUUUCUUGGCACCUUACAAAGUAG